GGAGGAGCAGUAUGAGUGGUGGUUGGGGAGGAUACCACUGUUCUGGCAGGAGGCCGAGAGAACGAGUGGGCAAAAGUACGAGUCUCGGAUUGGGUGUCCAGAUAUUUGCUCUCGAAUACACGAGAUAAGGCAAAUGUCUCAUCCAAGGUUGCUGGCCGAUUUAGUUGGAGAUCCCGGCGAAGCGAAGGCUUGAGGCCUGAAAUAUAGAAAGAAAUAAGCAAGGGUUCAGAGAUGCCCUUAAUUCGACCCAUCAACGAUUCAAAAGUCGACUGAUAAUCGGCAACACUCCCUUGCUGCGUGAGUUUGGCCAGAGUGCCCUCCGGAUCAUCAAAUUGAGAAUCGCCAAAGCGA
This 351-nucleotide long non-coding RNA is filed under the name Salvia miltiorrhiza (redroot sage). Its description in RNAcentral is "long non-coding RNA (SMIL_LNC005963)". The record is from RNAcentral. Lineage: Eukaryota; Viridiplantae; Streptophyta; Magnoliopsida; Lamiales; Lamiaceae.